AGUGAACGCUGGCGGUAGGCCUAACACAUGCAAGUCGAACGGCAGCACAGUAAGAGCUUGCUCUUACGGUUGGCGAGUGGCGGGCGGGUGAGGAAUACAUCGGCAUCUUCUUUUUCGUGGGUGAUAACGUAGGGCCACUUACGCUAAUACCUCAUACGACCUACGGGUGAAAUCAGAGGAUCUUCGCACCUUGCGCGUCUGAAUGAGCCGAUGUCGGAUUAGCUAGUUGGCGGGGUAAAGGCACACCAAGGCGACGAUCCGUAGCUGGUCUGAGAGGAUGAUCAGCCACACUGGAACUGAGACACGGUCCAGACUCCUACGGGAGGCAGCAGUGGGGAAUAUUGGGCAAUGGGCGCAAGCCUGACCCAGCCAUACCGCGUGGGUGAAGAAGGCCUUCGGGUUGUAAAGCCCUUUUGUUGGGAAAGAAAAGCAGCAGGUUAAUACCCCGCUGUUCUGACGGUACCCAAAGAAUAAGCACCGGCUAACUUCGUG
This 492-nucleotide ribosomal RNA is filed under the name uncultured bacterium. RNAcentral describes it as "partial 16S ribosomal RNA". It matches the Rfam family "Bacterial small subunit ribosomal RNA", at positions 29 to 507 of the family's 1533-position model. The record is from RNAcentral.